Molecule: ribosomal RNA, 251 nt
Filed under: uncultured bacterium
Lineage: Bacteria
Description: partial 16S ribosomal RNA
Source: RNAcentral
GGGCACCACACGUUUCGCACACAGGCACACGCUCACAUCACCGCCAUCACGUCCUUCACGGGUCAGCACACAGCCAGGGGCACCUUCGGGCCUUGCGCUUCAUCCAGCAUGCAGUCCUUNAGGAUCAGGACAUAUCAGCUCAGUAUGGAUAGGGGUCACAUGGGCUCCACCACAAGGGCGCACGCAUCCGGUACACACUAGGUAUCUAGCAGCAGGCAUAGCAUCCCAGUCCACCACUAGGGGCACACUGC